RNAcentral lists this ribosomal RNA (567 nucleotides) under uncultured archaeon. RNAcentral describes it as "bacterial SSU rRNA". It matches the Rfam family "Archaeal small subunit ribosomal RNA", at positions 326 to 898 of the family's 1478-position model. The record is from RNAcentral.
CGGGGUGCAGCAGGCGCGAAAACUUUACAAUGCGGGAAACCGUGAUAAGGGGACACCGAGUGCCAGCAUCAUAUGCUGGCUGUCCGGGUGUGUAAAAUACACCCGUUAGCAAGGGCCGGGCAAGACCGGUGCCAGCCGCCGCGGUAACACCGGCGGCCCGAGUGGUGAUCGUGAUUAUUGGGUCUAAAGGGUCCGUAGCCGGUUUGGUCAGUCCUCCGGGAAAUCUGACGGCUCAACCGUUAGGCUUUCGGGGGAUACUGCCAGGCUUGGAACCGGGAGAGGUAAGAGGUACUACAGGGGUAGGAGUGAAAUCUUGUAAUCCCUGUGAGACCACCUGUGGCGAAGGCGUCUUACCAGAACGGGUUCGACGGUGAGGGACGAAAGCUGGGGGCACGAACCGGAUUAGAUACCCGGGUAGUCCCAGCCGUAAACGAUGCUCGCUAGGUGUCAGGCAUGGCGCGACCGUGUCUGGUGCCGCAGGGAAGCCGUGAAGCGAGCCACCUGGGAAGUACGGCCGCAAGGCUGAAACUUAAAGGAAUUGGCGGGGGAGCACAAGGGCGAAUUCGC